This 535-nucleotide long non-coding RNA is filed under the name Nicotiana benthamiana. Its description in RNAcentral is "long non-coding RNA (NBEN_LNC022075)". The record is from RNAcentral. Lineage: Eukaryota; Viridiplantae; Streptophyta; Magnoliopsida; Solanales; Solanaceae.
UCGAUUUGGAUAAACUUUUCCAACUGCGUAUUAUUCUGAAACCUAUGAACAGAAGAUAAUAAUAACUAACAUGGGAAUCAAGAAUAUGGACACCCCUACUAUUUCUAUGAAUAGAGUAAUAUAUAAAAAUUGUGUAUUUGCUCAUUUCUUCAGAUAAUUUGGACCAUUCCAAAAGAAAGAAGGAUAGCCUUAACAUAUUUGGAGUAUGAAAAAUUAAGUAUAAUAUUCUUGGAGAAGAUUGCACGUACACCUGUAGAACGGAAAGAACUGGAUUCGCUUUUGUUCUUGAAGCCAUUUGAACGAACUAGCUCCUGCUCUUUGAAGCACUAUGAAGAUUGAGCUUGUUCUUGACGUUAGAGUAUUUGAUCCAAGAGAGACAAUUUUUCUUGCCUUUUUUUAGGAAUGGCUCGAUGCUCAUUUUUCAAAUGGAAAUGGAGAUAGGAUUUCCAUUUUGACUUAAAGGUCAUUCUGCUUUUGUCCAAAUGAAUAUGGAAAACUAGACAUUUAUAAGUCUUGCUUGAUUUAAUAAUUCAAU